Molecule: ribosomal RNA, 325 nt
Filed under: uncultured bacterium
Lineage: Bacteria
Description: bacterial SSU rRNA
Rfam family: Bacterial small subunit ribosomal RNA
Source: RNAcentral
GACGUUACCUACAGAAGAAGCACCGGCUAACUCCGUGCCAGCAGCCGCGGUAAUACGGAGGGUGCGAGCGUUAAUCGGAAUUACUGGGCGUAAAGACGCAUGCAGGCGGCCUGUUAAGUCAGAUGUGAAAGCCCGGGGCUUAACCUCGGAAUUGCAUUUGAAACUGGCAGGCUAGAGUCUUGUAGAGGGGGGUAGGAAUUUCAGGUGUAGCGGUGAAAUGCGUAGAGAUCUGAAGGAAUACCAGUGGCGAAGGCGGCCCCCUGGACAAAGACUGACGCUCAGAUGCGAAAGCGUGGGGAGCAAACAGGAUUAGAUACCCUGGUAG